AGGUAAAGAACUUCCUCUUUCAACGCAUCUCAAAAUUUGGCGUGCAUGCAGAUCACCUGCAGAGUAUGAUUAUUCAUCUUUACAUUGCCUUGUUUUGAGAUGAUGAAACUGAGGUUCAAGCCAAUGACAAGCCUGAAGCCACAUGGCUAGUGAAUGGUAGAGUCAGAACUCAAACCCAAAUCCAUCUGACCCCAAACUUCAUGUAUCUUGAACUACAGGCUCCAUCUCACUGUUCACACUCUCACCCACCUCCACCCAUCAGAGGUGCCUCUAGACCUUUGCUUGUGUUGUUUGUUCUCUGCCUGACAUGCCUCCCCCUCAAUCACUCUCAGUUGAAACCUGGCUUAGUCAUCAAGUGCCUGCUCACCAGCAAGACUUCUUCUGUUCAGGGAGC
RNAcentral lists this non-coding RNA (394 nucleotides) under Pongo abelii (Sumatran orangutan). Lineage: Eukaryota; Metazoa; Chordata; Mammalia; Primates; Hominidae. The record is from RNAcentral.